Oncorhynchus gorbuscha (pink salmon) is the source of this 788-nucleotide long non-coding RNA. RefSeq lists it as uncharacterized. The record is from RefSeq and is a predicted model, not a curated record. NCBI's taxonomy places the organism in Eukaryota, Metazoa, Chordata, Actinopteri, Salmoniformes, Salmonidae. The transcript has 4 exons.
CAUGGAGUACUGAAGCAAUACACCUGUCCGGGCUGUUGCCACACCACUCCACUGCAAUGCAUGCAAGAGUGGUCCGGAGGUGUCAAAAGGCCAGGGACCGUGACUUUUAAGGUGACCCGGAGCUCUCUGACAAUGAGGGACCCCUAUUUGCUAUGGUAACGAGUGGUGGUGGAUGAACCUUCUGGAUAGAUUGAGUUGAUUCAAAGGGGGUGUAGCAGAUCCCAUAACUCUUUCGCAAAGGAACUCUUUCGCAAAGGACUCCGGUAGGAUACUCUUGUGCUUAUUCGGCGGGAGGAGGCUAUCGAGGAGUUGGUUCUUUUUGAGCCAGAAUGGAUCCCCGGUUUCCAUGACUGAAUGCAGAGCUUUCUGAUGUUGAUGAUACUGCAUCAGGAACUGAUUGGAUGAUGUCGAUGGGCCAUCAGUUCUUGAUGCAUUGCCUUCAGCAUUGAAAAAAACACCACACAGUAUGUUGCUCUUUAAAAAUAUGAUUUUCUAGUUUUUUCCAUGUAUGUUGUCCUGUAAUUCAUGUAAAAAAUAACAAUAAUUCAAAAUACUGUAAUUGAGCAUUUUAUGUUUCGUAAACUUGAAUGAAUAAGCAUUUUUAAAUGUUUAGUCACGUUUAUAAAUGUUUACAAAUAAAUCUGGAAUUGUUUAUGAGUAGUUUAACUCUUGAUUCUAGCCAUCCCGGAUCCGGGAUCGUGAAUACAGCCUCAAGCUCAUUACCAUAACGCAACGUUAACUAUUCAUGAAAAUCGCAAAUGAAAUGAAAUAAAUAUAUUUGCUCUCAA